RNAcentral lists this long non-coding RNA (732 nucleotides) under Homo sapiens (human). Its description in RNAcentral is "long non-coding RNA NONHSAT150963.1". Lineage: Eukaryota; Metazoa; Chordata; Mammalia; Primates; Hominidae. The record is from RNAcentral.
GCGGGAUCUCUUCGGUCCCCCAGGACCUCCAGGUGCAGAAGUGACCGCGGAGACUCUGCUUCACGAGUUUCAGGAGCUGCUGAAAGAGGCCACGGAGCGCCGGUUCUCAGGGCUUCUGGACCCGCUGCUGCCCCAGGGGGCGGGCCUGCGGCUGGUGGGCGAGGCCUUUCACUGCCGGCUGCAGGGUCCCCGCCGGGUGGACAAGCGGACGCUGGUGGAGCUGCAUGGUUUCCAGGCUCCUGCUGCCCAAGGUGCCUUCCUGCGAGGCUCCGGUCUGAGCCUGGCCUCGGGUCGGUUCACGGCCCCCGUGUCCGGCAUCUUCCAGUUCUCUGCCAGUCUGCACGUGGGGCUCUCUCCGCAGACCACAGUGAGCUGCAGGGCAAGGCCCGGCUGCGGGCCCGGGACGUGGUGUGUGUUCUCAUCUGUAUUGAGUCCCUGUGCCAGCGCCACACGUGCCUGGAGGCCGUCUCAGGCCUGGAGAGCAACAGCAGGGUCUUCACGCUACAGGUGCAGGGGCUGCUGCAGCUGCAGGCUGGACAGUACGCUUCUGUGUUUGUGGACAAUGGCUCCGGGGCCGUCCUCACCAUCCAGGCGGGCUCCAGCUUCUCCGGGCUGCUCCUGGGCACGUGAGGGCGCCCAGGGGGGCUGGCGAGGAGCUGCCGCCGGAUCCCGGGGACCCUCCUACUGAUGCCCGUGGUCACCACAAUAAAGAGCCCUCCACCCUCCCCACUG